Ornithorhynchus anatinus (platypus) is the source of this 72-nucleotide non-coding RNA. NCBI's taxonomy places the organism in Eukaryota, Metazoa, Chordata, Mammalia, Monotremata, Ornithorhynchidae. The record is from Rfam.
AGCAGCGUGGCUCAGUGGAAAGAGCACAGGGUUGGGAGUCAGAGAUCAUGGGUUCGAAUCCCGGCUCUGCCA